AAAGCAAGGACCCCACAAUCGUCCAGCAAAAAGAGGGCUUGGAUGCCACCACUGACCAACUGUGUGGUCAAGUCGUUUGACUGUUCAGCGGUUCAGUCAAUCCUACAAGUUCCUGACUUUGCUGGGAUUGCAGGGUUUGAUGAUUCCCUCCUUGUCUGGGAUGAGGAGUUGAGGAUGAACCUUCAUUACUCCUCAGAGAUGCUAUGAUAACAUGUACAGGACCAUAUUGCUUCCUCACUGAUGUAUGGAAGUACUUGAUUGGUUGGUGGUCUUCCUAGCCAUGGAACUUUUCAUCUUUGACAUCACACCACUUUAAAAAAAA
Ornithorhynchus anatinus (platypus) is the source of this 322-nucleotide long non-coding RNA. RefSeq lists it as uncharacterized. The transcript has 2 exons. NCBI's taxonomy places the organism in Eukaryota, Metazoa, Chordata, Mammalia, Monotremata, Ornithorhynchidae. The record is from RefSeq and is a predicted model, not a curated record.